Long non-coding RNA from Rhineura floridana, 801 nucleotides. RefSeq lists it as uncharacterized. The transcript has 3 exons. NCBI's taxonomy places the organism in Eukaryota, Metazoa, Chordata, Lepidosauria, Squamata, Rhineuridae. The record is from RefSeq and is a predicted model, not a curated record.
ACUUACUGAUCAGAAAAAUGUUCAAUGGGAGGAGUUACCUCAUGACAUCUUCCCAACAUCUUGAAGUGUUGGACGCCAGGGAAGCUGAUGAUGAAGAACCUGAGAUUGGUGUCCUCACAAAUUUUCUUUUUAAAGGAAAUAUUUCUUUUUAACUUUUUUUUAAAUUGCACUGAUUUCUUUAAAAGUAAAAAAAAAACCUUCACUAAAAUCAGUCAGUCAGUCAUCACAAUCUGUGAGGAGCAUAAGGGCAUUAAGGGUUUUUCAGGAAGCCUAAGUACCCAGGAAGGCUGCAGAAUGCAUAUCCUUGGAGAUACGAUUUGUAGAAUUAAACAAAGGAUUCACUAAACCCCUUCACAAGAUCAGAAACAUGGAAGAAAUUUGGUACUAGAUGCAGAGGAAGCACCACAGGUUGGGCUAAAAUAGUUCAAAUCAAAGGUUUCAUCCCUCCCUUGCCUGCCAAAUAAUGGAGAUUCAGUGGCUGAAAUGGCACUGAAAUUGAGGAGAGCGAGAGAGCGAGAGAGAGAGAGCACUUUCAUCCUGGCUGCUACAAUUGGCCAUUUCUCCUCCCAGAAGAUAAAGGCGCUGGUGCCAUGUCUUGCAUUUUUAUUCAUAUAAAAGAUGUGUGUAAUGUUUUCACUUCAUAGUCAUAAUCUGUCAUUAUUCUACACAUCUUACAAUUCCAGCUUUCUUUCUUUUGUGUACAUAGUUUGCAGCUUAGCUUGCUUGUCUUUAUUUUACAUACUGGUAAAAGCCUUUAUAAAGUGUUCACAAGGAUACUACAUUCUGUGUAAUGUAAUUUAG